This 72-nucleotide transfer RNA is filed under the name Xantusia bezyi. Its description in RNAcentral is "tRNA-Ile". It matches the Rfam family "tRNA". Rfam says of the family: Transfer RNA (tRNA) molecules are approximately 80 nucleotides in length. Their secondary structure includes four short double-helical elements and three loops (D, anti-codon, and T loops). Further hydrogen bonds mediate the characteristic L-shaped molecular structure. tRNAs have two regions of fundamental functional importance: the anti-codon, which is responsible for specific mRNA codon recognition, and the 3' end, to which the tRNAs corresponding amino acid is attached (by aminoacyl-tRNA synthetases). tRNAs cope with the degeneracy of the genetic code in two manners: having more than one tRNA (with a specific anti-codon) for a particular amino acid; and 'wobble' base-pairing, i.e. permitting non-standard base-pairing at the 3rd anti-codon position. The record is from RNAcentral. Lineage: Eukaryota; Metazoa; Chordata; Lepidosauria; Squamata; Xantusiidae.
GGAACUGUGCCCGAAUACUUAAGGACUACUUUGAUAGAGUAAACUACAGGGGUUAAAAUCCCCUCUAUUCCU